Molecule: ribosomal RNA, 363 nt
Filed under: Vibrio parahaemolyticus
Lineage: Bacteria; Pseudomonadati; Pseudomonadota; Gammaproteobacteria; Vibrionales; Vibrionaceae
Description: bacterial SSU rRNA
Rfam family: Bacterial small subunit ribosomal RNA
Source: RNAcentral
AGGUGGGGACGACGUCAAGUCAUCAUGGCCCUUACGAGUAGGGCUACACACGUGCUACAAUGGCGCAUACAGAGGGCAGCCAACUUGCGAAAGUGAGCGAAUCCCAAAAAGUGCGUCGUAGUCCGGAUUGGAGUCUGCAACUCGACUCCAUGAAGUCGGAAUCGCUAGUAAUCGUGGAUCAGAAUGCCACGGUGAAUACGUUCCCGGGCCUUGUACACACCGCCCGUCACACCAUGGGAGUGGGCUGCAAAAGAAGUAGGUAGUUUAACCUUCGGGGGGACGCUUACCACUUUGUGGUUCAUGACUGGGGUGAAGUCGUAACAAGGUAGCGCUAGGGGAACCUGGCGCUGGAUCACCUCCUUA